Pelobates cultripes (western spadefoot toad) is the source of this 273-nucleotide non-coding RNA. NCBI's taxonomy places the organism in Eukaryota, Metazoa, Chordata, Amphibia, Anura, Pelobatidae. The record is from the annotation of a GenBank genome assembly.
CCGAUCAUUCUCCAUGUGAGGGAAUUAAGGACGGCACAUUGUCCUUCUAAUGGGGAUCCAGCAGGGUGGCCACCCAGUAAUCAGCACAAGUUAGAAUGUGGGAAACUCGGCAGUCGUUGUGCAGCACUUUGGUGACUCUAGAUAACCUCGGGCCGAUCGCACGUCCCCGUGAUGGCAACGACGCAUUCGGAUGUCUUCCCUAUCAACUUUCGAUAGUACUUUCUGUGCCUACCAUGGUGACCACUGGUAACGGGAAAUCAGGGUUUGAUUCCG